RNAcentral lists this ribosomal RNA (751 nucleotides) under uncultured bacterium. RNAcentral describes it as "bacterial SSU rRNA". It matches the Rfam family "Bacterial small subunit ribosomal RNA", at positions 60 to 772 of the family's 1533-position model. The record is from RNAcentral.
AGUCGAGCGAGCUUCCUAGAUGAUUUUAGUGCUUGCACUAAAUGAAACUAGAUACAAGCGAGCGGCGGACGGGUGAGUAACACGUGGGUAACCUGCCCAAGAGACUGGGAUAACACCUGGAAACAGAUGCUAAUACCGGAUAACAACACUAGACGCAUGUCUAGAGUUUGAAAGAUGGUUCUGCUAUCACUCUAGGAUGGACCUGCGGUGCAUUAGCUAGUUGGUAAGGUAACGGCUUACCAAGGCAAUGAUGCAUAGCCGAGUUGAGAGACUGAUCGGCCACAUUGGGACUGAGACACGGCCCAAACUCCUACGGGAGGCAGCAGUAGGGAAUCUUCCACAAUGGACGAAAGUCUGAUGGAGCAACGCCGCGUGAGUGAAGAAGGGUUUCGGCUCGUAAAGCUCUGUUGGUAGUGAAGAAAGAUAGAGGUAGUAACUGGCCUUUAUUUGACGGUAAUUACUUAGAAAGUCACGGCUAACUACGUGCCAGCAGCCGCGGUAAUACGUAGGUGGCAAGCGUUGUCCGGAUUUAUUGGGCGUAAAGCGAGUGCAGGCGGUUCAAUAAGUCUGAUGUGAAAGCCUUCGGCUCAACCGGAGAAUUGCAUCAGAAACUGUUGAACUUGAGUGCAGAAGAGGAGAGUGGAACUCCAUGUGUAGCGGUGGAAUGCGUAGAUAUAUGGAAGAACACCAGUGGCGAAGGCGGCUCUCUGGUCUGCAACUGACGCUGAAGCUCGAAAGCAUGGGUAGCGAA